This 2932-nucleotide ribosomal RNA is filed under the name Serratia marcescens. RNAcentral's name for it is "bacterial LSU rRNA". It matches the Rfam family "Bacterial large subunit ribosomal RNA". The record is from RNAcentral. Lineage: Bacteria; Pseudomonadati; Pseudomonadota; Gammaproteobacteria; Enterobacterales; Yersiniaceae.
GGGUUGUGAGGUUAAGUGACUAAGCGUACACGGUGGAUGCCUAGGCAGUCAGAGGCGAUGAAGGGCGUGCUAAUCUGCGAAAAGCGUCGGUAAGGUGAUAUGAACCGUUACAACCGGCGAUACCCGAAUGGGGAAACCCAGUGUGUUUCGACACACUAUCAUGUCAUGAAUACAUAGUGGCAUGAGGCGAACCGGGGGAACUGAAACAUCUAAGUACCCCGAGGAAAAGAAAUCAACCGAGAUUCCCCCAGUAGCGGCGAGCGAACGGGAGGAGCCCAGAACCUGAAUCGGCUUGUGUGUUAGUGGAAGCGUCUGGAAAGUCGCGCAGCAAAGGGUGAUAGCCCCGUACACUAAAAUGCACAGGUCGUGAGUUCGAUGAGUAGGGCGGGACACGUGACAUCCUGUCUGAAUAUGGGGGGACCAUCCUCCAAGGCUAAAUACUCCUGACUGACCGAUAGUGAACCAGUACCGUGAGGGAAAGGCGAAAAGAACCCCGGCGAGGGGAGUGAAAUAGAACCUGAAACCGUGUACGUACAAGCAGUGGGAGCACCUUCGUGGUGUGACUGCGUACCUUUUGUAUAAUGGGUCAGCGACUUAUAUUUUGUAGCAAGGUUAACCGUAUAGGGGAGCCGUAGGGAAACCGAGUCUUAACUGGGCGAAUAGUUGCAAGGUAUAGACCCGAAACCCGGUGAUCUAGCCAUGGGCAGGUUGAAGGUUGGGUAACACUAACUGGAGGACCGAACCGACUAAUGUUGAAAAAUUAGCGGAUGACUUGUGGCUGGGGGUGAAAGGCCAAUCAAACCGGGAGAUAGCUGGUUCUCCCGAAAGCUAUUUAGGUAGCGCCUCGUGAACUCAUCUUCGGGGUAGAGCACUGUUUCGGCUAGGGGCCAUCCCGGCUUACCAAACCGAUGCAAACUCCGAAUACCGAAGAAUGUUAUCACGGGAGACACACGGCGGGUGCUAACGUCCGUCGUGAAGAGGAAACAACCCAGACCGCCAGCUAAGGUCCCAAAGUCAUGGUUAAGUGGGAAACGAUGUGGGAAGGCACAGACAGCCAGGAUGUUGGCUUAGAAGCAGCCAUCAUUUAAAGAAAGCGUAAUAGCUCACUGGUCGAGUCGGCCUGCGCGGAAGAUGUAACGGGGCUAAACCAUGCACCGAAGCUGCGGCAGCGACGCUUAGGCGUUGUUGGGUAGGGGAGCGUUCUGUAAGCCGUUGAAGGUGGCCUGUGAGGGUUGCUGGAGGUAUCAGAAGUGCGAAUGCUGACAUAAGUAACGAUAAAGCGGGUGAAAAGCCCGCUCGCCGGAAGACCAAGGGUUCCUGUCCAACGUUAAUCGGGGCAGGGUGAGUCGACCCCUAAGGCGAGGCUGAAAAGCGUAGUCGAUGGGAAACAGGUUAAUAUUCCUGUACUUGGUGUUACUGCGAAGGGGGGACGGAGAAGGCUAGGCUGGCCGGGCGACGGUUGUCCCGGUUUAAGCGUGUAGGGGGUGUGACCUGGUAAAUCCGGUUGCAUAUCAACCCUGAGGCGUGAUGACGAUGCACUACGGUGCAGAAGUAGUUGAUGCCCUGCUUCCAGGAAAAUCCUCUAAGCUCCAGGUAACAUUAAAUCGUACCCCAAACCGACACAGGUGGUCAGGUAGAGAAUACCAAGGCGCUUGAGAGAACUCGGGUGAAGGAACUAGGCAAAAUGGUGCCGUAACUUCGGGAGAAGGCACGCUGGCAUGUAGGUGAAGUCCUUGCGGAUGGAGCUGAAGCCAGUCGAAGAUACCAGCUGGCUGCAACUGUUUAAUAAAAACACAGCACUGUGCAAACACGAAAGUGGACGUAUACGGUGUGACGCCUGCCCGGUGCUGGAAGGUUAAUUGAUGGGGUCAGCCGCAAGGCGAAGCUCUUGAUCGAAGCCCCAGUAAACGGCGGCCGUAACUAUAACGGUCCUAAGGUAGCGAAAUUCCUUGUCGGGUAAGUUCCGACCUGCACGAAUGGCGUAAUGAUGGCCAGGCUGUCUCCACCCGAGACUCAGUGAAAUUGAACUCGCUGUGAAGAUGCAGUGUACCCGCGGCAAGACGGAAAGACCCCGUGAACCUUUACUAUAGCUUGACACUGAACAUUGAGCCUUGAUGUGUAGGAUAGGUGGGAGGCUUUGAAGCGUGGACGCCAGUCUGCGUGGAGCCAUCCUUGAAAUACCACCCUUUAAUGUUUGAUGUUCUAACUCUGCCCCGUGAUCCGGGGUGAGGACAGUGUCUGGUGGGUAGUUUGACUGGGGCGGUCUCCUCCCAAAGAGUAACGGAGGAGCACGAAGGUUAGCUAAUCACGGUCGGACAUCGUGAGGUUAGUGCAAAGGCAUAAGCUAGCUUGACUGCGAGAGUGACGGCUCGAGCAGGUACGAAAGUAGGUCUUAGUGAUCCGGUGGUUCUGAAUGGAAGGGCCAUCGCUCAACGGAUAAAAGGUACUCCGGGGAUAACAGGCUGAUACCGCCCAAGAGUUCAUAUCGACGGCGGUGUUUGGCACCUCGAUGUCGGCUCAUCACAUCCUGGGGCUGAAGUAGGUCCCAAGGGUAUGGCUGUUCGCCAUUUAAAGUGGUACGCGAGCUGGGUUUAGAACGUCGUGAGACAGUUCGGUCCCUAUCUGCCGUGGGCGUUGGAAGAUUGAGAGGGGUUGCUCCUAGUACGAGAGGACCGGAGUGAACGCACCACUGGUGUUCGGGUUGUCAUGCCAAUGGCAUUGCCCGGUAGCUAAGUGCGGAAAAGAUAAGCGCUGAAAGCAUCUAAGCGCGAAACUUGCCUCAAGAUGAGUCUUCCCUGGGCCUUUAAGGCCCCUGAAGGAACGUUUAAGACUAAGACGUUGAUAGGCUGGGUGUGUAAGUGCAGCGAUGCAUUGAGCUAACCAGUACUAAUGAUCCGUGAGGCUUAACCUUACAACACCGAAGGUGUUUUAG